CCUCCAGCGACAGACCACCCGUACAUAUGUUUCCGUGCUUGACACUACGCCUCAAUCACGUUACAAUUUAUGGGUCGCCGGUCACGAGUU
Molecule: microRNA precursor, 90 nt
Filed under: Caenorhabditis japonica
Lineage: Eukaryota; Metazoa; Nematoda; Chromadorea; Rhabditida; Rhabditidae
Description: mir-52 microRNA precursor family
Rfam family: mir-52 microRNA precursor family
Source: Rfam by way of RNAcentral